This 216-nucleotide ribosomal RNA is filed under the name uncultured bacterium. Its description in RNAcentral is "partial 16S ribosomal RNA". It matches the Rfam family "Bacterial small subunit ribosomal RNA", at positions 15 to 214 of the family's 1533-position model. The record is from RNAcentral.
GAUCCUGGCUCAGGAUGAACGCUAGCUACAGGCUUAACACAUGCAAGUCGAGGGGCAGCAUGGUCUUAGCUUGCUAAGGCCGAUGGCGACCGGCGCACGGGUGAGUAACGCGUAUCCAACCUGCCUUACACUCUUGGACAGCCUUCUGAAAGGGAGAUUAAUACAAGAUGUUAUCAUGAGUAAGCAUUUUCGCAUGAUUAAAGGUUUACGUGUAGA